UAAGAGGUUCAGUAAGAUAGCUUUCCUCGUACUGCUAUAAAUCAUUUUCUUUUCGUGGUUUUUAUCAAUUAAUGAUUGAUUAUAAAGUUUUCUAAACUUGUAUGUUUUGUCAUGGCAUAAUAACAUAUUAUACAUGGAGCACAAAUGUGUCAAAUUUACCUAAUUUACAAAAUAAAUAUUUUUUUUUAUGGUCAGAUGGCUUCAAAAGACAAAAAGCACAGGGCUAUGGGUGAUGAGGAGUGGAUGUCCCGCCUGCGACGGUUCGCUGCUGUUGGGGUCUGGCCCUCUGAUGCAGGAAACAGGCCGGCACCACGUCAGAAAAAGUGGCAUGAUCUGUAUCUGAAGAUUGAGAAAUGCCCGAUGCAGCGGAGGGGACAAAUGUCUCUGUUUGGAGGGACACAGACAUGCAGCUGUGGCUUCCAUACAAAGAAGCCCUCCAGCUCGGUACCUGCCUCUCCCUCAGUGACACCACAACCAAGACUCUCAACGCCACCAGUGUCAGGAUCCUCCUCUUCAACACCUGGUCCGACAGUGCGUAAGCCCG
This is a long non-coding RNA of Scophthalmus maximus (turbot), 544 nucleotides long. RefSeq lists it as uncharacterized. The transcript has 3 exons. Lineage: Eukaryota; Metazoa; Chordata; Actinopteri; Pleuronectiformes; Scophthalmidae. The record is from RefSeq and is a predicted model, not a curated record.